CUCUUACCGCCCGGGUCCGCACCGGCCCAAUGUGGGGCGGCCUGACCCGGGACACCUCGAAAUGGAGCGCAACUGCAAUUCAGUGUUGUAUCACGGGUAACUACAAGGACAUGGACACGAGAGACGACAAGGCAUCAGCUGCCUCAGUUUAGAAGCUUUUUUCAGCUGUUUUCAUCCUGUUCCUUCAAAUGAAGAUUCACGGUUUUACGCCUUAUUACCACCUUGGGGUGCUGUCUAGCAGGGAAGAAGCAUUGCUGAUGGCUCAUUUUGUCACAAAGCAAGGCAGCAAAAUGGAAGAUGACAGAAACACAUUCAGUUUCUCUAUUCCUGUGGGAAGAGGCUCGAAUCACACUCGUACUUCAGGAGAACGUUGUGCCGGACCUGCUGUGCUGCACAGAGUGCUGCUUUGGGGCACAGCCAGCUCACAUUGGCAGAGCUGAACGGCCUGCACGGAAGAGGAGGCUUCAGUCACGUUUUUGUAUGAAGCAGAAAAUAAGGAUCCGCAAAGGCAUACUGUGGUUGCACUUGGAAAAUACCUGAUAAGCACUCAAAAGCUGCUUUGUACAGAUAAACAACCAACAUGCAUGACAGUUUGUAGCUUUUCUUCUGAGCUGAAGAAUUUACCUGGUUCGCGCAGCAUGGUUUAUUUCAGUAGGCAGGAAAAAAUGUCUUUUCACUUGUGUUCUCAGUAGCUGUAUUGUCAUGUUUUGGUUUUGGCAUGUGCCACUUCUCUGGCACAUACUCAGAUACACGUUGUUUGUUUUCCCUACUCAGAGUUACUGUCUGAAUACUGUACAUUUCCAUAGGACUUCCAAACACCAGCAGCCCAGCUGCAGUGCACUUGUCCCUCUCUGUGUCCCUUUUCUUCUCUGCUGUCAUUUUUCUCCAGCUUUGCCCUGGAUCUGUGUCUUCUGUGAGCUCUGUGGGGACAGGACAUCCCGGGCUCCUGUUUGCUGUCCAUUGCGCCCCCAGAUCAGCUGCUGCACAAUCAUUGCCCAUCCUGCCAGUGUGCUGGUCCUUCCACAGUGCCGUAGUUUGUCCCAGCCUUCACUGGACAAACCAUCACUGGGGCUGGUCAAGAUCAUUUUAAUGCCAGCCC
RNAcentral lists this long non-coding RNA (1099 nucleotides) under Gallus gallus (chicken). RNAcentral's name for it is "long non-coding RNA NONGGAT004396". The record is from RNAcentral. Lineage: Eukaryota; Metazoa; Chordata; Aves; Galliformes; Phasianidae.